Molecule: ribosomal RNA, 797 nt
Filed under: Streptomyces sp. C-8
Lineage: Bacteria; Bacillati; Actinomycetota; Actinomycetes; Kitasatosporales; Streptomycetaceae
Description: bacterial SSU rRNA
Rfam family: Bacterial small subunit ribosomal RNA
Source: RNAcentral
UGCUUACACAUGCAAGUCGAACGAUGAAAUCACUUCGGUGGUGGAUUAGUGGCGAACGGGUGAGUAACACGUGGGCAAUCUGCCCUUCACUCUGGGACAAGCCCUGGAAACGGGGUCUAAUACCGGAUACCACNNNGUCCCGCAUGGGACGGGGUUGAAAGCUCCGGCGGUGAAGGAUGAGCCCGCGGCCUAUCAGCUUGUUGGUGGGGUAAUGGCCUACCAAGGCGACGACGGGUAGCCGGCCUGAGAGGGCGACCGGCCACACUGGGACUGAGACACGGCCCAGACUCCUACGGGAGGCAGCAGUGGGGAAUAUUGCACAAUGGGCGAAAGCCUGAUGCAGCGACGCCGCGUGAGGGAUGACGGCCUUCGGGUUGUAAACCUCUUUCAGCAGGGAAGAAGCGCAAGUGACGGUACCUGCAGAAGAAGCGCCGGCUAACUACGUGCCAGCAGCCGCGGUAAUACGUAGGGCGCAAGCGUUGUCCGGAAUUAUUGGGCGUAAAGAGCUCGUAGGCGGCUUGUCACGUCGGAUGUGAAAGCCCGGGGCUUAACCCCGGGUCUGCAUUCGAUACGGGCUAGCUAGAGUGUGGUAGGGGAGAUCGGAAUUCCUGGUGUAGCGGUGAAAUGCGCAGAUAUCAGGAGGAACACCGGUGGCGAAGGCGGAUCUCUGGGCCAUUACUGACGCUGAGGAGCGAAAGCGUGGGGAGCGAACAGGAUUAGAUACCCUGGUAGUCCACGCCGUAAACGUUGGGAACUAGGUGUUGGCGACAUUCCACGUCGUCGGUGCCGCAGCUAAC